Bos taurus (domestic cattle) is the source of this 1080-nucleotide long non-coding RNA. The record is from Ensembl. NCBI's taxonomy places the organism in Eukaryota, Metazoa, Chordata, Mammalia, Artiodactyla, Bovidae.
ACACUUGAGAGGGUAUUUCAGGUGGUCUUGAGUGAUGACUAUGAGAGGGAGCAAAGAAAGUGCGGGAAAACAAGCUUCAAAUGGUGCAGCUUAGUUCAGCAUCAGCAUUUAAAUUUUUUUUUUUAUUUUAUUCCUGGGUAUGCUGGAUCUUCGCUGCUGCUCGGGCUUUUCUCUACUUGUGAUUUCUCAGGAGGCAUGUAAGGUGGUCUGGUAUUCCCAUUGCUUGAAGAGUUUUCUGCAGAUACCAAACAAGUACAUUCAUUUCACAGCUUCCUGGCUUCCUGGGUGUCUGCUGUCAUCUUCACCCAGCGUCAAGCUCUGUGCAAGGCAAGACGACAGGCAUCAGACCGACAGAAGACUGUCCUCAGGAAGCUCUCUGCCCUGACCAGGGAGGGGUUUACACAGGGCAGUGACCGCCCUGGGGCUCAACGGAUACUUCCUCAGAGCUGAUCUCCCUUUGUGCUCAGGCUCAUUUUUUCUGGGUCCCAGACCACCUCUUUGGCUGUCCAGCUGUCCUACAGAGAAAGCUCCUGGGGGGGCGGGGGGGAUUGGUUGCAAACAACCCUGAUGCAAGACAUUUCUCGAGACUGCUCUUCCAGAAUGUAAACACCCUUCCUCACUUCAGGACCAGAGCUCCUGCCAGGACUUUGAAAAACAAGUUACACAAGCACCUUUGGGGUGCUUGGUCAUGCCACAUCACAGGUGCUGCUACUUGGGGAUGUGGGGGAAGGGUGACCUCAAGGACUCAGUCAGGGACAGUGCAUAAAUGCCAGACUCACUGGGCCAAGAGUUCAGGAAAACACAAGCCCUUGGGCACCACAGUAAGACACCGCCUGGGCAAGGAGUCAGUCAUUUAAAGAUCAUUUCAGAGUUGCUUCAUGCCAUCACUGAAACAAUCCCAGGGCUCAGUAGAAGAAUCUGUUAUUAGAGCCGGGUCCCAGGCCAAGGUGGCCCUUCCUUAGAACUGCUCACUGUGAUAUCUUGAAUUUUCUCUCCCCUACAGAGAUCACCUCCCUGACUAUACUCACCCCACCUGUUUAAAAUUUUGGGAGCAGACAGCCUGUCACAAAAACACUUCAC